ACGCGAAGAACCUUACCUACUCUUGACAUCCAGAGAACUUUCCAGAGAUGGAUUGGUGCCUUCGGGAACUCUGAGACAGGUGCUGCAUGGCUGUCGUCAGCUCGUGUUGUGAAAUGUUGGGUUAAGUCCCGCAACGAGCGCAACCCUUAUCCUUUGUUGCCAGCGGUCCGGCCGGGAACUCAAAGGAGACUGCCAGUGAUAAACUGGAGGAAGGUGGGGAUGACGUCAAGUCAUCAUGGCCCUUACGAGUAGGGCUACACACGUGUUACAAUGGCGCAUACAAAGAGAAGCGAACUCGCGAGAGCAAGCGGACCUCAUAAAGUGCGUCGUAGUCCGGAUUGGAGUCUGCAACUCGACUCCAUGAAGUCGGAAUCGCUAGUAAUCGUGGAUCAGAAUGCCACGGUGAAUACGUUCCCGGGUCUUGUACACACC
This 432-nucleotide ribosomal RNA is filed under the name uncultured prokaryote. RNAcentral describes it as "bacterial SSU rRNA". It matches the Rfam family "Bacterial small subunit ribosomal RNA", at positions 959 to 1391 of the family's 1533-position model. The record is from RNAcentral.